CUACCGUGCAGUCGAGCGGUACAGGUGUAGCAAUACAUGCUGACGAGCGGCGGACGGGUGAGUAACGCUUGGGAAUCUGCCUGUUAGUGGGGGACAACCCGGGGAAACUCGGGCUAAUACCGCAUACGCACUACGGUGGAAAGCCGGGGACCGCAAGGCCUGGCGCUAACAGAUGAGCCCAAGUCGGAUUAGCUAGUUGGUAGGGUAACGGCCUACCAAGGCGACGAUCCGUAACUGGUCUGAGAGGACGACCAGUCACACCGGAACUGAGACACGGUCCGGACUCCUACGGGAGGCAGCAGUGGGGAAUAUUGGACAAUGGGGGCAACCCUGAUCCAGCGACGCCGCGUGGGUGAAGAAGGCCUGCGGGUUGUAAAGCCCUUUCGGUUGGGAAGAAAAGUUGCGGUUUAAUACAUCGCGACCUUGACGUAACCAACUAAAGAAGCACCGGCUAACUCUGUGCCAGCAGCCGCGGUAAUACAGAGGGUGCGAGCGUUAAUCGGAAUUACUGGGCGUAAAGCGCGCGUAGGCGGCUUUUCAAGUCGAUUGUGAAAUCCCCGGGCUUAACCUGGGAACUGCAGUCGAGACUGUCUAGCUAGAGUAUGGGAGAGGGAAGUGGAAUUUCAGGUGUAGCGGUGAAAUGCGUAGAUAUCUGAAGGAACAUCAGUGGCGAAAGCGACUUCCUGGACCAAUACUGACGCUCAUGUGCGAAAGCGUGGGGAGCAAACAGGAUUAGAUACCCUGGUAGUCCACGCCAUAAACGAUGAGAACUGGAUGUCGGAGGGGUCUGCCCUUCGGUGUCGUAGCUAACGCGUUAAGUUCUCCGCCUGGGGAGUACGGCCCCCAAGGU
This 850-nucleotide ribosomal RNA is filed under the name uncultured bacterium. Its description in RNAcentral is "bacterial SSU rRNA". It matches the Rfam family "Bacterial small subunit ribosomal RNA", at positions 51 to 894 of the family's 1533-position model. The record is from RNAcentral.